UCCAGUGUGGCAUAGUGGUUUGAGUGUUGGACUAUGACUCUGGAGACCAGAGUUCAAUUCCUUGCUUGGCCA
RNAcentral lists this transfer RNA (72 nucleotides) under Phrynosoma platyrhinos (Desert horned lizard). RNAcentral describes it as "tRNA-OTHER". The record is from RNAcentral. Lineage: Eukaryota; Metazoa; Chordata; Lepidosauria; Squamata; Phrynosomatidae.